AUCGUCGGCGGCGCCAGUUGUCGAGCAGCGGUCCAACGGUGCGUAUGCGUAUUUCGUGCGGUCCACGGUGCGUAUGCGUGUUAUUUGACCCACAGAAGGCAAACCGUAGUGCGGCAGUGUUUUUCCUCGUAUCUCGUAUCUCGUACCGUCGUGUUCGUUCUUGUCGUAGUCUCGCAGUCGUACGUACGUCUUCCUCUUGUUUGUUGUGAGUCGUCUUCUUCGCGCGUUUCUUCAUUUGGCCCCCGGUUUUUGUUACCAAUCCGCUGUGCUACUUCCUGUUCCUCCACUUUUUUUUUACUGUUUUUCUUGUUUGUUUUGGCUUCGAUUUGUGUACUACAACUACUACUGCUGAGUGAAAUCAACAAAUAACCCAGGCAAAAGACCAUAGCCCAGUGCAGAGAGUGUGUGAAAGAGAGUGUGUGCUAUGUUGGCUUUCGGUUACCCCAUUGAUGAAUGGCAAACAAAUUGAAUGGCAAUGGCCGGUGAAUAUUAAAAGGGCCAAACACAAUACAAAUAAUCAAAAGAAGAAAAAACCCGCUUCAAGCCAAAAUCAAAUCACACGUGUCAUAUCCCAUUUCGGUUUCGGAAAGUUCUGAUUAAAUUUCUUCGUACAAAAAAAGAAGCGUUAAUUCGGUUAAGCACUUAAAGCGAAAGCCGGGGUCCACGGAGAGUCCAGAGUCCAGGGUCCACAUGGACUGGCAGUUGGCCAGCAGAAGCUGGAUGAUGGCGAUGAUGCGUUGACAGGAGUC
Molecule: long non-coding RNA, 749 nt
Organism: Drosophila takahashii
Lineage: Eukaryota; Metazoa; Arthropoda; Insecta; Diptera; Drosophilidae
Source: RefSeq, a predicted model, not a curated record